GGCGGGUGGCUGUUUUCCUGCAGACCCUUGGCCCCGCCCUCCCGGGCCGUCCCACCUGGGGCCUCUCUCUGGGACAGCUGAAGCGUGGGGUUUGUGGGAGCCUCACCAGGGAUGCGAUCCUGCCUGGCAGCCGCUGACCUGCGCUUCCCCCAGCCCUGAGGGCAAGGGCCCAGGUUUCCAAGAACAUGCAGCAGCUGGGACCAGUCCUCUCUUCCGCGGUGCGUGCGUGCCCCUCAUUCUCCCUGGCUCCAAGCUUCCUCCUUCGUUCCUCUGUGGGGAGGGCACUGCAGUGGGUUUGCCUGUGUAUCACCGGCUGCUCGAGCUCUGCAUAAGGAGCCACGCGUCUGUCAGGAUAACGGCACAAUCGGAUCACCUGGAGAGCCGUAAAAACAGCGAUGCCUGGGCCGAACCCAGACAGAGGGGCUCGGAAUCGCAGAGGGUGGAGCCGGGCCUCGGAGAUUCCGACAGCUCCGCUGGUCUGGUUUGCAGGCAAGGUUGAGAUCUUCUUAGCUCCACGGCUGAAACUGGAGACCCAGCCUUUCUUCGGCAAAAACUAAUUUAGAAAGCUCAGUUCCAGUCUUGUGUCACAUUACAUCAGUUCACAUUCUGUAAGGAGGUGGAGCUGCCCGCCACCCUCUCGAGUUCAGUAUUUUAAAAAGAUUCCACGUACAAGAUCUCCAACCAGGAAUUGAAGCCAGGCCCCAGGAGUGAAAGGGCUGAACCCUAAGCACUGGACUACCAGAGAAUUCCCACGGAUGCCCUUCUUUUUUAUGGCUAAACAAUAUUCCACGGCACAUCACAUCUAUAUGUGUGUGUGUGUGUAUUCCACAUUUUAAUCCACUCGUCUGCUGAUGAGCACAGGCUGUCUGCAUGUGUUAUGAAUCAUGUUGAGUGAGCAUGAGGGUGCAGAUAUCUUCUCAAGGUGAUGAUUUUGUUUCUGUUGGACAAAUACCCAGAAGUGGAAUUGCUGGGUCAUAGAGUGGCCCUAUUUUUAAUUUUUUGAGGAGCCUUCAUAAUGUCUUCCACGGCGGCUGCACCGAUUUCCAACCCUCACCGAUUGUGCGCACGUGUUCCCCUCUCUCCGCAUCCUCAGCAACACUUGUGAUUUCUUGUAGUUUCGUUCAUGGCCUUGUAACAAGUGUGAGGUGAUAUCUCACCAUGGAUUUGACUUUCAUUUCCCCACCGAUUAGUGAGGUUGAGCAUCUUUUCAUGUACUUGUUUGCCAUUUUUACAUCUUGUGUACAAACU
Long non-coding RNA from Bos taurus (domestic cattle), 1248 nucleotides. Lineage: Eukaryota; Metazoa; Chordata; Mammalia; Artiodactyla; Bovidae. The record is from Ensembl.